UACAGAGGGGGCAAGCGUUGUUCGGAAUUACUGGGCGUAAAGCGCACGUAGGCGGCUUUUUAAGUCAGGGGUGAAAUCCUGGAGCUCAACUCCAGAACUGCCUUUGAUACUGAGAAGCUUGAGUCCGGGAGAGGUGAGUGGAACUGCGAGUGUAGAGGUGAAAUUCGUAGAUAUUCGGAGGAACACCAGUGGCGAAGGCGGCUCACUGGUCCAUUACUGACGCUGAGGUGCGAAAGCGUGGGGAGCAAACAGG
This 253-nucleotide ribosomal RNA is filed under the name uncultured bacterium. RNAcentral describes it as "partial 16S ribosomal RNA". It matches the Rfam family "Bacterial small subunit ribosomal RNA", at positions 524 to 776 of the family's 1533-position model. The record is from RNAcentral.